GUUAGGAUGUACAAGAGUAAUCGGCCACGUUCACUUGUAUUUUCGUCAAUCUGAUAAGUUUUUCAACUGAUUACUAUAGUUCGUUCUUAUGUUGUACUGGUAUACCACUGUCUUAGAUUACGGGAGGGUUGUGACCCCGCUAACAUGUUCUCCCCCACACACAAAAACAUUAUGUAUGUAUGUAUGUGCCGCCUGUCCUUAGUCAGGAGCCUGUAAUUCAGUGGUUGUGUUUGUUUAUGUGUUUCAAAUUUGUUUUUCGUAAAUGUUUUUAUAUAAAUAAGGCCGUUAGUGUUCUCGUUUGAAUUUUCAUUUCGGGGCCUUUUAUAGCUGACUAUGUGGCAUGGGCUUUUUUCAUUUUCGAAGGCCGUACGGUGGCCUAUAGUUGUUAAUUUCUGUGUCACUUGAGUCUCCUGUGGAGAGUUGUCUCAUUGGCAAUCAUACCACAUCUUCUUUUUCAUGUAUCUGCUUCAUGAUAAUCCAAACUACAAGAAACUUGGAUAUAUAGCA
Molecule: long non-coding RNA, 507 nt
Filed under: Mytilus galloprovincialis (Mediterranean mussel)
Lineage: Eukaryota; Metazoa; Mollusca; Bivalvia; Mytilida; Mytilidae
Source: RNAcentral